Molecule: long non-coding RNA, 202 nt
Filed under: Lathyrus oleraceus (garden pea)
Lineage: Eukaryota; Viridiplantae; Streptophyta; Magnoliopsida; Fabales; Fabaceae
Description: Pisum sativum (pea) long non-coding RNA (PSAT_LNC022225)
Source: RNAcentral
CAAAUCUUAUAACCCUAAUUUCUAAAUAAGAAAAUAAUAAUAAUAAAAUAAAAAACAUGUUGGUACAAGGGGGGCGCUUCCCCUGUUUGUGCUCUACUAGGACAAUUGCAGCCUGCCACGUGGUAAGAGAAAUGAAACACAAAACAAAAAAUUAGAAAAAAACAGCCCAACACAGUUUAGAAAGAAAAAAAACUCAAACUCU